Camelus ferus (Wild Bactrian camel) is the source of this 73-nucleotide transfer RNA. It matches the Rfam family "tRNA". Rfam says of the family: Transfer RNA (tRNA) molecules are approximately 80 nucleotides in length. Lineage: Eukaryota; Metazoa; Chordata; Mammalia; Artiodactyla; Camelidae. The record is from Rfam.
GAGGAUAUAGCUCAAGUAGUAAAGUACAUGCUUAGCAUGCGUGAGGUCCUGGGUUCAAUCCCCAGUACCUCCU